UGCGUAGGUGGUUUGAUAGGUCAGAGGUGAAAGCCCACCGCUUAACGGUGGAAUUGCCUUUGAUACUGUCAGACUUGAAUAAGGUUGAGGUCGGCGGAAUGUGUCAUGUAGCGGUGAAAUGCAUAGAUAUGACAUAGAACACCAAUUGCGAAGGCAGCUGGCUAGACCUUUAUUGACACUGAGGCACGAAAGCGUGGGGAGCGAACAGGAUUAGAUACCCUGGUAGUCC
RNAcentral lists this ribosomal RNA (229 nucleotides) under uncultured bacterium. Its description in RNAcentral is "partial 16S ribosomal RNA". It matches the Rfam family "Bacterial small subunit ribosomal RNA", at positions 568 to 796 of the family's 1533-position model. The record is from RNAcentral.